This 274-nucleotide ribosomal RNA is filed under the name uncultured bacterium. RNAcentral describes it as "partial 16S ribosomal RNA". It matches the Rfam family "Bacterial small subunit ribosomal RNA", at positions 523 to 796 of the family's 1533-position model. The record is from RNAcentral.
CUACGGAGGGUGCAAGCGUUGUCCGGAUUUAUUGGGUUUAAAGGGUGCGUAGGUGGUUUUUUAAGUCAGUGGUGAAAGCCUACAGCUUAACUGUAGAGGUGCCAUUGAAACUGGGAAACUUGAGUAUGGGCGAGGUAGGCGGAAUUUGUGGUGUAGCGGUGAAAUGCAUAGAUACCACAAAGAACACCGAUAGCGAAGGCAGCUUACUAGGCCAUAACUGACACUGAGGCACGAAAGUGUGGGGAGCGAACAGGAUUAGAAACCCUAGUAGUCC